GAUGAAGAACGCAGCGAAAUGCGAUAAGUAAUGCGAAUUGCAGAAUUCCGUGAGUCAUCGAAUCUUUGAACGCACAAUGCGCCCUCUGGUAUUCCGGAGGGCAUGCCUGUCUGAGCGUCAUUGUCAACCCUCAAGCUCAGCUUGCUGUUGGGUCCCCGUCGUUGCUUUAACGGCGGACCCGAAAGGUAAUGGCAGAGUCCGUGAGACCCUAGACGCAGCGAGCUUCUAGCACGCGUCUGGACGUUUUUCGGGCUCGGUCUUAACUAGAUGAUAACUUCCGAUUGACCUCAGAUCAGGUAGGGAUACCCGCUGAACUUAAGCAUAUCAAUAAGCGAGGA
This 338-nucleotide unclassified non-coding RNA is filed under the name soil metagenome. RNAcentral's name for it is "partial contains 5.8S ribosomal RNA, internal transcribed spacer 2, and large subunit ribosomal RNA". The stretch from base 1 to 120 matches the Rfam family "5.8S ribosomal RNA", at positions 35 to 154 of the family's 154-position model. The record is from RNAcentral.